ACUGGGUUGGCCGAGUGGUUAAGGCGUUGGACUUAAGUUCCAAUGGACAAGUGUCCGCGUGGGUUCGAACCCCACACCCAGUA
Non-coding RNA from Ciona savignyi (Pacific transparent sea squirt), 83 nucleotides. The record is from Rfam. NCBI's taxonomy places the organism in Eukaryota, Metazoa, Chordata, Ascidiacea, Phlebobranchia, Cionidae.